This 97-nucleotide ribosomal RNA is filed under the name uncultured eukaryote. RNAcentral describes it as "partial small subunit ribosomal RNA". The record is from RNAcentral.
UCGUUGCCACCGACAGUCGAACUACCGAGGCCCGGGGAGGGUGGCGCCCUCGGGUGCCUCACGAACCGGUCCGAAGUAGUCCGACAGGAGGAAGCAA